AUGGUUUAAGGAAAAAAAACCUAAACUUGUUUGAGAAUGUGCCCUGGAAAAAUCUGGUGUACUUAAGCUUACUUUGUAUUUCAUAACAUUGAAGCUAGAGUUGCGACUAUGUGCUCAUUCCUGGCAUAAACACAUACUGAAUCAAGUGUUGUUUUUCCAUUUAUUUAAUAAACAUUUACUUUUUAAACUAUACAAUUGGUUGCCACUCACCCUGAGACUCCACUCUGGUUCUGCACUGCGAGUGGUGAAGGCAUUUAUUGUCCUGACCCCGGAAUACCUCUCCCAUGACCAGGACCAGCUCACCUAGGAGCUGCAGCAGCAUGUGAAGUCAGUGACAGCCCCAUAUAAGUACCCGAGGAAGGUGGAAUUUGUCCCAGAGCUGCCCAAAAUC
Long non-coding RNA from Leopardus geoffroyi (Geoffroy's cat), 391 nucleotides. RefSeq lists it as uncharacterized. The record is from RefSeq and is a predicted model, not a curated record. Lineage: Eukaryota; Metazoa; Chordata; Mammalia; Carnivora; Felidae. The transcript has 2 exons.